Molecule: ribosomal RNA, 468 nt
Filed under: uncultured bacterium
Lineage: Bacteria
Description: partial 16S ribosomal RNA
Rfam family: Bacterial small subunit ribosomal RNA
Source: RNAcentral
GACGAACGCUGGCGGCGUGCUUAACACAUGCAAGUCGAACGGAAAGGCCCUGCUUUUGUGGGGUGCUCGAGUGGCGAACGGGUGAGUAACACGUGAGUAACCUGCCCUUGACUUUGGGAUAACUUCAGGAAACUGGGGCUAAUACCGGAUAGGAGCUCCUGCUGCAUGGUGGGGGUUGGAAAGUUUCGGCGGUUGGGGAUGGACUCGCGGCUUAUCAGCUUGUUGGUGGGGUAGUGGCUUACCAAGGCUUUGACAGGUAGCCGGCCUGAGAGGGUGACCGGCCACAUUGGGACUGAGAUACGGCCCAGACUCCUACGGGAGGCAGCAGUGGGGAAUAUUGCACAAUGGGCGGAAGCCUGAUGCGGCAGCGCCGCGUGCGGGAUGACGGCCUUCGGGUUGUAAACCGCUUUCGCCUGUGACGAAGCGUGAGUGACGGUAAUGGGUAAAGAAGCACCGGCUAACUACGUG